CUUUCAACUGAGCUACCAGAAGCUCCACCCCGCGUCCAUUCCAUUAUCAUCAUCUACCAGUAGCUUUUCCUCAUGUUUUUUUCAACCAAGCCGUCUCAGUUGCCAUAAAUCUUCGACUCCAACCACUGAUCAAUUUUGAACCCUAUUUCACUCGAUUUCUUCAACCUGGCUUGUAUUUUUCACGACUGGAAGAAAAAUUGGGAGAGCAGCUGUUGAUCGCUUUCAAAUCCCUAAUUCGCUCGAAGAAGUACUUUAUUUUUCUGUCGUGUUUUGUUUUUUCAUUUUAUCCUUGUUAUCCAUUCUUAUUUUCUGCAUAGUGUUGUUUUUCAAUGGUUGCUUAUAUUAGGCGCUUCAUGUUACCAUUGUCUGGCCGCAUCAACUCAUAACUAAAAGGUUAACCAGAGCAAAAUAUCCAACCGCAACAUGAGUCGGAGGAGCCAUCGCACCGGAGUGCGUCGUCGGGAUUGAUGCAAAAUCAACUGAAUUUGACUGAAAAUGGCUGAAAAUUGUCAACCCGAGGCGGAUCGCUGUUGCCGGAGCACGGCGGAGCCGCUGUGCUGGAUUUUCAAAACUGCCCGAGUGGGCCCUAAGACUGAUUUUAGAUUUAUUUGGAACAUUUAUAGGUACUAUAAGCGCAUUUCAGUUCUCGGAGAAAAAUUUAGGGAAUUUAGGGAUCGUCCGUAGGCGCAAUGAACCGUUUAGCUUUUUGACGUCAAAUCAAGUAAGGACCACUCACUCUAUUCUCUAUCAUAGAAUUGAAGUUUAAAUAUAUAAUAAUGUGGUAUUUUGUGCGAUUUUAGUAGACAUGCAUAAUUAAUUACUGAUUGCUAAUGGAGGCCGAACCAGAAAUUGUUCUCUGUUAAUAUAUGUUGAUGUAUUUUACAGUCUAAAAGUAUGAUAGUGUCUUAUCGAUUUAUUUUAUGAUUUGAAUGCAUGAAUUGCUGUCUUACAUUACUACUGUUUGAUUUAGGAUUUAAGACAUGAUUGUAUUACUUGAUGCAUGUUUAUUUGCUUAUGUGAUUAUGUUUGAUUUGGAAAUUGAGACUAAAGGAAAAUGGAAAAGUGGUGUGAUUAAAUAAACAGAUGGAACGACAGUCUUAUCAGAUAUUUUGGG
Carica papaya (papaya) is the source of this 1114-nucleotide non-coding RNA. The record is from RefSeq and is a predicted model, not a curated record. NCBI's taxonomy places the organism in Eukaryota, Viridiplantae, Streptophyta, Magnoliopsida, Brassicales, Caricaceae.